CACGUAGUUAGCCGUGACUUCCUCGCCGGGUACCAUCACUCAGAAAGCUUUCCACUCUUUCUGCCUUUUGUCCCCGGCAACAGAGCUUUACGAUCCGAAGACCUUCCUCGCUCACGCGGCAUUGCUCGUUCAGGGUUCCCCCCAUUGACGAAAAUUCCCUACUGCUGCCUCCCGCGGGAGUCUGGGCCGUGUCUCAGUCCCAGUGUGGCCGUCCGCCCUCUCAGGCCGGCUAUGCAUCGUCGCCUUGGUGAGCCGUUACCUCUCCAACCAGCUAAUGCACCGCAGGUCCAUCUGCAUGCGGGACUCUUGUCCCCUUUCCAAAAGAGAUGCCUCCUCUUUGCUCAUCCGGUAUCAGCUUCCGUUUCCAGUAAGUUCUCCCGCUCAUGCAGGCAGGUUCCCUACGUGUUACUCCUACCCGUUCGCCACUCAUAUCCGAAGAUACUCCGUUCGACUUGCAUGUAUUGGCAUCGCCGCCAGCGUUACACUCC
This 488-nucleotide ribosomal RNA is filed under the name uncultured Allobaculum sp. RNAcentral's name for it is "partial 16S ribosomal RNA". Lineage: Bacteria; Bacillati; Bacillota; Erysipelotrichia; Erysipelotrichales; Erysipelotrichaceae. The record is from RNAcentral.